Molecule: ribosomal RNA, 253 nt
Filed under: uncultured bacterium
Lineage: Bacteria
Description: partial 16S ribosomal RNA
Rfam family: Bacterial small subunit ribosomal RNA
Source: RNAcentral
UACGGGGGGGGCAAGCGUUGUUCGGAAUUACUGGGCGUAAAGAGCUCGUAGGCGGUUUGUCGCGUCUGCCGUGAAAGUCCGGGGCUCAACUCCGGAUCUGCGGUGGGUACGGGCAGGCUAGAGUGAUGUAGGGGAGACUGGAAUUCCUGGUGUAGCGGUGAAAUGCGCAGAUAUCAGGAGGAACACCGAUGGCGAAGGCAGGUCUCUGGGCAUUAACUGACGCUGAGGAGCGAAAGCAUGGGGAGCGAACAGG